RNAcentral lists this non-coding RNA (45 nucleotides) under Schistosoma curassoni. Lineage: Eukaryota; Metazoa; Platyhelminthes; Trematoda; Strigeidida; Schistosomatidae. The record is from RNAcentral.
AUCCAGCUGACGGGUCCAAAAUAGAACGAAACGCGUUUUCUGGAU